Molecule: long non-coding RNA, 676 nt
Filed under: Helianthus annuus (common sunflower)
Lineage: Eukaryota; Viridiplantae; Streptophyta; Magnoliopsida; Asterales; Asteraceae
Description: sRNA HanXRQr2_Chr13g0574591
Source: RNAcentral
UCAGUAUCGUUCAAAAACCCUAAUUAUCAUAUAGGUGAGGUGAUUUUCUGACGAUUUCAUACAUCUGCGAUUGUCUUAUACACUGAUUAUUCGAAACACUUAAUCUCUAGCAGGGGCGAUUCUUAUCAAAGCGAUUAAUGGAAACCCUAAAUUGUAACCAGUGGAAUUGAAUCCAGAAAAGUUUGAAGCUUGAGAGAGAGAGAGACAAUGGAAACAAGUGGUUGUUAGAGCCAUCCAUCCAGUGGUGAUGUUUGGGUUCCGAUUAGAGCAUUGGCCACAGCGGCGAUAGCUAGGUUUCUUCCACUUCAAGGGGUUUAAGGGGAUUCUCAAGAUUGGUGAAUAUUAGAGAUGGUAAAGGGGCAACACCUUUUCAUUUGUCUGCCCGUCAAGAAGUUAAUGGAGAUGCUUUUGAGUUAUAAGCAUUAUUAAUUUGGAAAUGUUUAAAGCCUAUGUUGGCAAAUAAACUAUGCACAUAAGGUGUUCACUUAAAUGUUUUGAUGUGUUAACAAUGAUUUCUGCUCAGGCACUGAUUAUAAACCCUAUGUUGGUGACCGGUAUUAAUGAAGCAAUCAUCUACUCAUAGCUAUUUAAUGUCAGCGAGAGAAAGGAAGGCACAGAAACAGUUUACCAAAAGUGACAGAUGCCAAAUAUCUGACAGUUGUCGAAUUUGUUAAAU